This 476-nucleotide ribosomal RNA is filed under the name uncultured bacterium. Its description in RNAcentral is "bacterial SSU rRNA". It matches the Rfam family "Bacterial small subunit ribosomal RNA", at positions 328 to 793 of the family's 1533-position model. The record is from RNAcentral.
UCAGUCGACUCCUACGGGGAGGCAGCAGUGGGGAAUAUUGCACAAUGGGGGAAACCCUGAUGCAGCCAUGCCGCGUGUGUGAAGAAGGCCUUCGGGGUUGUAAAGCACUUUCAGUAGGGAGGAAGGUAGUGUAGUUAACACCUGCAUUAUUUGACGUUACCUACAGAAGAAGCACCGGCUAACUCCGUGCCAGCAGCCGCGGUAAUACGGAGGGUGCGAGCGUUAAUCGGAAUUACUGGGCGUAAAGCGCAUGCAGGCGGCCUGUUAAGUCAGAUGUGAAAGCCCGGGGCUUAACCUCGGAAUUGCAUUUGAAACUGGCAGGCUAGAGUCUUGUAGAGGGGGGUAGGAAUUUCAGGUGUAGCGGUGAAAUGCGUAGAGAUCUGAAGGAAUACCAGUGGCGAAGGCGGCCCCCUGGACAAAGACUGACGCUCAGAUGCGAAAGCGUGGGGAGCAAACAGGAUUAGAUACCCUGGUAG